Long non-coding RNA from Equus caballus (horse), 1593 nucleotides. Lineage: Eukaryota; Metazoa; Chordata; Mammalia; Perissodactyla; Equidae. The record is from Ensembl.
UUGGAGUGUAUUUUAUGGCCUAACUUAUGGUCUAUCCUGGAGAAUAUUGCAUGUGCUCUUGAGAAGAAUGUUUAUUCUGCUGUUGUCGGGUGGCGGGCUCUGUAUGUAUCUGGUAGUUUCAGUUGGUUUAUAGUGUUUCAAGUCCUCUAGUUCCUUGAUGCUCUUCUGUCUCAUUAUUCUGUCCAUCAUUGAAAGUGAAGUAUUGACGUCAUCAACUAUUGUUAUUGACAGUUAAUCACAUUUAACCUUUAAUUUUUAAGGUCUUUUUGGAAGUUGGGAGGACCCAUGACCACCACCCACUCCCACAUCGGACACUAUGCUCAUACCAACUGUCCCAGGCUCAGCAGCAGUGGUGGCUGUUCUUUAUUAGACAAAGAAACCGAGGUGUUUUCAGCGUCUCCCCCAAGAAGGAGGCUCCGAGGGCUGAGCCAGCCAGGCCCUGCAGGAGGGGCUGCUUCUAUUUGAACUUCUGCAGCAGCUCGCAGAUCCUCUCCUUGACCAGCGGGUCCAGGGUUGAACAGUCCCACUCUUCCAACUUCACCAGCCGGUCGUGGGCCUCCCAGAAGAGACCGGAACCAAUGGCCAGCUCCACCCUCAUGCGCCACUCAGCCAGCUUGGAGCUGUUGAGGAAGACGUUAUGGUUGCCCCCCAUGGGCUGUGGAUAGACACAGAGGAAGGAGUAGUCAGCCUGGGGACCAGCCUCACCUGGGUCCCCUCCUAUAGCCUCAAGCACUUUCCCUGUCUACUUCUGCAAAAAGUGGGUCUGCUGACCCCCGAGGCCUGGGAAAGGAGUCAUAGGCUAUGUCAUAGAUACGGGGUGGGGAUAGAAGAUCCAGAAUCCCCCAAGAUUCUUGGUCACUGAUCUUGCUUCAGGGCUCCUGAAUCCCUCUCUGAGGGGACCCCCUGGCCUAGGUGGGUCCUACUUCUCCUGCAUGAAACCUCCCAUGGGUCCUGCCUUCUUCCAGGGAAACCCCUUGUCCCCAGAUGAGGGUGGGAGGAAUUUGGUUACUUUUUCCUGAUGUUGAACCUCCCUCUGUUAUCGAGCACAGGGGCUGGAACAGGACACUCAGCAGGCAGCCCAAGAAGUAUGUGCCCAAGAUAUUUGGGAGGCCCAAAAUGGGGGACCUCCUCAACCAUCUUUAAUCCAGCGAUUCUGGUGGGGUGCUGGCAGUCACAGGGCCCUGUGCCCCAGCCAGUGAGUGGUUCACAGGUAAGGGGGUGACUCAGCCUGGGCCCAUCUGUGUCCUUCGCUGGGAACUUCGGAUCACCUGAGAAGGAGCGGUUACUCCUUGCCCGAGGACCAGGAGCUCCAAAGAUGUGGCUACAGGGCUGCCAUUGGCCGUGAGUAUACACAGAAGGCUGAGGGAUGGAGGCCGACACACCCACAGAGAAGCUGACAGGUUCACAGAUGAAGGGGAAUUUUGACACAGGAUGAAUCAUGCCUUGGAUUUCACGCAAACCUGAUUUGGACAAUUUAGAUGCUGGCACGGUGACCUUAGUGUUGAUGCUGGGGUGAUCAAGACUUUUGGAGAUGUUGGGAUGAGGUGGACUUAUUUUGUGCAUGAGAAGGAGGUGAAUUUGGGGGGACCAGAG